AUUUUUUAAGUAUUAGGAAAAGAAAUAGAAUGAGGAAAACAGGUGGCUUCAAAUGAAAGUAAUUAUUUCCAAAAACAAAAGUGCAUUUUUUUUCCCUCUACACUCCAUAGCAGUUGCUAGAAACAUUCCACCCUUGAAUCUUACUGAUGUUCCUCUUCAUAAGUUCCAUCAGUGUCACACUUCCUAUGGUGCCCUUUCUACCUGCAAACCCAGUGCUGGAACUAGCACAAGUCAUGUUAAUUUUGUGGUGCUUGACAGAGUCCAUUCUUUACCAUAUUUGUCGUUGACAUAAGGUGUAAAAGAGACAGCUUUCAAAUACUUAUUUUCAUUUUAAUUUAUCUACUUCGAAAAAGCUUGAAUCCAUAUAACCUGAAAGGCCUGAAAAAUCUCACAGCGAGAAGUUAGUAUCAAGUGGCCCUCUUUGGCAAGGAAUAUAUUCCAAUAUCUUGGCAGAAGCAAACAUUUAAUUAAUGUCAUCUUUCCGGCCCUGGCUCCAGAAGAUCUUCCCAUUGGCCUCUCCCUUUCCAAGAAAUAGAGAAUAACUAUGCACUCAUCACAGCUCUUCCUGUCUGUACUGGUAAAGAGAAUAUUAAGAUCUAAGCAUCUGUCUCAACUGAAGCCUCUAUCAGUAAAACAUGAACCCAAAAGAAUCAUUCUCCCUAAUUUUUUCUAUCUUUUUUUCUAUCUUAUGACAUGCAAGCCACACUAUCUCUGAUACACUGGCCACAAAUGAUAAGAUCAGAAGGUGGUACCAAAAUCAAGGGCAAAGAAGCCCAGGCUGGACGUGAAGAAGGCUGCCUGUCUCUGAAGUGACUUGGCCUAAAUUCUGCCCAAUAGGGGUGCUGUAUAUGUAAUGGUGAUAAACUGACCCAAUUCCUUGGGCUUAUGACAUAAAAAUAAGCACCAGACCAUCCCCAUCAGUUUGUUUCUCUAAAAGCUAUUGUACAGCUCAAUGCUGGGAAUGCUCAGUUCAGGAGUGGUUAUCAAAAAGGGGGCUAUAAUUUGUAUCAUUUCUUGGUCCUUCAUGGUCAUUAUGUAGCUUUGCAAUAAGUAUUGUCUCAAAGGAAUCCCAAAUAAGAUUCCCCCUCA
Long non-coding RNA from Felis catus (domestic cat), 1089 nucleotides. RefSeq lists it as uncharacterized. NCBI's taxonomy places the organism in Eukaryota, Metazoa, Chordata, Mammalia, Carnivora, Felidae. The transcript has 3 exons. The record is from RefSeq and is a predicted model, not a curated record.